This 472-nucleotide small RNA is filed under the name Malus domestica (apple). RNAcentral describes it as "sRNA MD17G0053800". Lineage: Eukaryota; Viridiplantae; Streptophyta; Magnoliopsida; Rosales; Rosaceae. The record is from RNAcentral.
AUGGGGAAGCCAGCGAAUCCAUGGAUGGGAUGCAGAAGAACAAAUGAUCGGAGCCUGCAAAUCCUAGAAUUCGAAACUCACAGUAUAUGAAGUUCAUUCAUGAAAUCGUAAAAGAUUGAUGGGGAAGCCAUCGAAUCCAUGGAUGGGAUGCAGAAGAACAAAUGGCGAACACUAGAAGACGUUUCGGCGAUGGAAGUGAUAGAAUUGCCGACAUAGUCCACUCGCCGCUGGUCUAGCCGUCGGGAUUGGCUGGUGGCGAAUUUGAAGCUCGUGGAUUUGUUUUUAUUUUAUCUUUUGCUUUAUUUCAGUGGGGAAGGAGGAGGAAGGAGGAAAGAGGGAAGAAUGGGGGAAGACGGAUGAGUGGGGAACAAGGGUGAGAACAUGGGUUGGUAGAGUGGGGCCCAAUAUUGAAUUUUCUUAAUAUGUUAUGUUUAGUUUUAAAUUUUAAGGUAAAUCUCUGUUUACUACUCUC